Suncus etruscus (white-toothed pygmy shrew) is the source of this 135-nucleotide small nucleolar RNA. RefSeq annotates it as small nucleolar RNA SNORA70. The record is from RefSeq and is a predicted model, not a curated record. NCBI's taxonomy places the organism in Eukaryota, Metazoa, Chordata, Mammalia, Eulipotyphla, Soricidae. The transcript has a single exon.
GUGCAGCCAAUUGAGCCAACUAUGCUCUUUGCCCUGUAAGCCCCAUAUGCAGUAGCUGAGAUGGCAGCAGCCUUCCUGGUUAAUGAAGUCACCUGUGGCUUGUAUGGUCUGCAAAAAGAAACUUCGGAGACAAAC